Molecule: RNA transcript, 2643 nt
Organism: Scomber scombrus (Atlantic mackerel)
Lineage: Eukaryota; Metazoa; Chordata; Actinopteri; Scombriformes; Scombridae
Gene: celf1
Gene name: cugbp, Elav-like family member 1
Exons: 15
Source: RefSeq, a predicted model, not a curated record
GACUGCCAUUUUAUCACAACUAGCUAAAUCUCUAAAGUGAGACUAGUAUAUAUUCCCCUCUGUGGUCAGCUUGUUUUCCAAAAGUACAGCAGCAGUACUAACGUAAUAUUGUAAGCAAACAUCUAAAACGACAUUUUGUUUUAAAGUCAAAUUAUCUGUGGCGUAAAAACACGGCAGUAGUAGUGCGAGGUCCUGGAUGGAUAGCCUGGACCAUGAAACCCUGUAUGUGUCUCCAGAGCAGACGGGACAGCCCACUCUCCCCAGCCCUACCUCGGAAGUCUCCAACUUGGCACUAGGGGGUGGGAAGAAGAUGAAUGGAUCUCUGGACCACCCUGACCAACCAGACGUGGAUGCCAUUAAAAUGUUUGUGGGCCAGAUUCCACGGUCCUGGUCCGAGGAGCAGCUACGUGAGCUCUUUGAGCCUUAUGGAGCCGUCUAUGAGAUCAACGUUCUCCGAGACCGCAGCCAGAAUCCACCACAGAGCAAAGGCUGCUGUUUUAUAACGUAUUACACUCGCAAAUCAGCCUUGGAAGCACAGAAUGCUCUGCACAACAUGAAGAUUCUGCCAGGGAUGCACCACCCAAUCCAGAUGAAGCCAGCUGACAGUGAGAAAAACAAUGCAGUGGAAGACAGGAAGCUGUUUAUUGGAAUGAUCUCCAAGAAGUGUAACGAGAACGACAUAAGAUUGAUGUUCUCACCGUAUGGACAGAUAGAGGAGUGCCGAAUACUUCGAGGCCCUGAUGGACUCAGCCGUGGUUGUGCAUUUGUGACAUUCACAGCUAGACAAAUGGCCCAGUCAUCCAUCAAGUCCAUGCAUCAGUCCCAGACCAUGGAGGGCUGUUCAUCGCCCAUUGUGGUGAAGUUUGCAGACACUCAGAAGGACAAGGAGCAGAAGCGCAUGGCCCUACAGCUGCAGCAACAGAUGCAGCAACUUAGUGCUGCUUCCAUGUGGGGAAACCUCACUGGGCUCAACAGUCUGGGACCACAGUACCUAGCACUUUACUUACAGUUGCUGCAGCAGUCAGCCUCCACAGGGAAUGCACUCAACAACCUGCACCCUGUAUCAGGUCUUAAUGCCAUGCAGAACCUGGCUGCCUUAGCAGCAGCAACACAGGCCACGCCCACAGGCUCCAGUGCCAUGACAACAUCUAGUAGCCCACUAAGUGCACUAACAAGCUCAGGCUCAUCCCCCACCUCCAGCAGCAACUCCUCAGUGAACCCCAUAGCUUCUCUGGGGGCCCUGCAGUCACUGGCUGCUGGUACUGGAGCUGGCCUCAACAUGGGCUCCCUGGCAGGCAUGGCAGCACUUAACGGCAGCAUUGGCUCUGGAGGCUUGUCUAAUGGUUCAGGAAGCACCAUGGAGGCACUGAGCCAGGCCUACUCAGGCAUCCAGCAGUAUGCUGCUGCUGCCCUCCCCAGCCUGUACAACCAGAGCCUGCUGUCCCAGCAAAGCGUCUCAGCUGCAGGCAGCCAAAAAGAAGGUCCAGAGGGUGCCAACUUGUUCAUUUAUCACUUGCCUCAAGAGUUUGGAGACCAGGACCUCCUCCAGAUGUUUAUGCCCUUUGGAAAUGUCAUAUCUGCUAAGGUCUUCAUUGACAAACAAACAAACCUCAGCAAGUGUUUUGGCUUUGUGAGCUAUGACAAUCCUGUGUCAUCACAGGCAGCCAUCCAGUCAAUGAAUGGUUUCCAGAUUGGUAUGAAGAGGCUGAAGGUGCAGCUGAAACGGUCAAAGAAUGACAGCAAGCCUUACUGAAGGUGCUGAGUCACGACAGACUUAGUUAGGAAGGGUGGUGUUAUGGUAAGUGGAGUAUGAAUAACCAACUAAGACUGGUCCACUCAGAAACUUGUCUGUGCAUUACAGGGUGAUGUCUGCUGCUCUGCCUUUUCUGGUCAUUAUUACAUGUCCAGGCAAAGAGACACAUGAAGCUACAUGCAAGAGUUUUCAGGCCAGACUGGAUUCUUCCUGCACUCUGUUGUGAUUAAUGCACUUUGUUUUCCUUUUAACCUAUAAGAGGAACAGGUGUAUUUUCAUUUAAGUUGAAAUGUUAUCAGUUUGCUGUGGUACAUAAACACAUAUGAGUUGAUUGUUAGGAUGUGUUGCACAUUGACAGUUAGGUGCCCAAAUCCACUUGUUUUUUUAUUUCUGGUUCACCUUCCCUUCCACCACCCACACCCAGCAGAAAGCUCCGGAUAGCAGGCAGCAGCUGGAAAAGACGGAGUAACAUUUGAUUUGGAAAAAAUAUUCUAUUACGUUUACAAACCACAAUGUAUGUUUUUAUCACUCUUGUAUUAGGAAGCUCUAUAAUCUCAUUAUUAUUAAUAUUCUAUCACCAAAAUAAUCAGGAACUCAGAUUGUUCAUAAGGAGGCGCUUCCCCAAAACAUGCAAAUUGGCUUUUGACAUAUUUGUCCUCAUUCUGUGUGUGUGUGUGUGUGUGUGUGUGUGUGUGUGUGUGUGUGUGUGUGUGUGUGUGUGUGUGUGUGUGUGUGUGUGUGGCAGAUUGUAAAUCAGUGACUGUGACAGUUAAGCGGCUGAUUGAUGCUGUGAACAUCUUGUUCCUGCUCUCUAGAUUUUCAACCCUGAAUUAAAGUCACUUAAGUCAGGUUUAACCUCCAGCUUAUCACCUUCCUGUUGACAGAGAGAG